This 109-nucleotide unclassified non-coding RNA is filed under the name Flavobacterium phragmitis. RNAcentral describes it as "Flavo-1 RNA". Lineage: Bacteria; Pseudomonadati; Bacteroidota; Flavobacteriia; Flavobacteriales; Flavobacteriaceae. The record is from RNAcentral.
AACUAGCCCCGAUAGUAGUGAAAAUCCUUUUAUGUUUUUUCUUUAAAAACAUAAAAGAUUACUUCGUCAGUUCGCUAUCGCUCGUGUGUAGCGGAUAGCGGGAAACAGC